RNAcentral lists this ribosomal RNA (245 nucleotides) under uncultured Rhodospirillaceae bacterium. Its description in RNAcentral is "partial 16S ribosomal RNA". It matches the Rfam family "Bacterial small subunit ribosomal RNA", at positions 524 to 768 of the family's 1533-position model. The record is from RNAcentral. Lineage: Bacteria; Pseudomonadati; Pseudomonadota; Alphaproteobacteria; Rhodospirillales; Rhodospirillaceae.
UACGAAGGGGGCUAGCGUUGUUCGGAAUUACUGGGCGUAAAGCGCACGUAGGCGGCGUCGUCAGUCAGAGGUGAAAUCCCGGGGCUCAACCUCGGAAUUGCCUUUGAUACUGCGACGCUUGAGUUCGGAAGAGGACAGUGGAAUACCCAGUGUAGAGGUGAAAUUCGUAGAUAUUGGGUGGAACACCAGUGGCGAAGGCGACUGUCUGGUCCGAUACUGACGCUGAGGUGCGAAAGCGUGGGGAG